AGAGUUUGAUUAUGGCUCAGAACGAACGCUGGCGGCAUGCUUAACACAUGCAAGUCGAACGCUAUUUUAUAGAGUGGCGCACGGGUGAGUAACACGUGGGAAUCUGCCCUUCUGCCUGGGAUAACAGUUGGAAACGACUGCUAAUACCGGAUACGCCCUUCGGGGGAAAGGUCCGCCGCAGAAGGAGGAGCCCGCGCUUGAUUAGCUUGUUGGUGAGGUAAUGGCUCACCAAGGCAACGAUCAAUAGCUGGUCUGAGAGGAUGAUCAGCCACACUGGGACUGAGACAUGGCCCAGACUCCUACGGGAGGCAGCAGUGGGGAAUAUUGGACAAUGGGGGCAACCCUGAUCCAGCAAUGCCGCGUGUGUGAUGAAGGCCUUAGGGUUGUAAAGCACUUUCACUGGUGAAGAUGAUGACGGUAACCAGAGAAGAAGCCCCGGCUAACUUCGUGCCAGCAGCCGCGGUAAUACGAAGGGGGCGAGCGUUGUUCGGAAUCACUGGGCGUAAAGGGAGCGCAGGCGGUUCAUUAAGUUAGGCGUGAAAGCCCCGGGCUCAACCUGGGAACUGCGCUUAAUACUGAUGAGCUAGAAAACAGGAGAGGGUAGUGGAAUUUCCAGUGUAGAGGUGAAAUUCGUAGAUAUUGGAAAGAACACCGGUGGCGAAAGCGGCUACCUGGCCUGAUUUUGAC
This 687-nucleotide ribosomal RNA is filed under the name uncultured marine microorganism. RNAcentral's name for it is "bacterial SSU rRNA". It matches the Rfam family "Bacterial small subunit ribosomal RNA", at positions 8 to 744 of the family's 1533-position model. The record is from RNAcentral.